CCUUGAUCCCUGAUAAUUUUAUGAUAUAGAAAGAGAGCCAUCAGUCAGUAUGAUUGUAGAGCCAGAUGGGUCAGUCAGUAUGAUUGUAUAGACAGAUGGGUCAGUCAGUAUGAUUGUAUAGACAGAUGGGUCAGUCAGUAUGAUUGUAGAGCCAGAUGGGUCAGUCAGUAUGAUUGUAGAGACAGAUGGGUCAGUCAGUAUGAUUGUAGAGCCAGAUGGGUCAGUCAGUAUGAUUGUAUAGACAGAUGGGUCAGUCAGUAUGAUUGUAGAGCCAGAUGGGUCAGUCAGUAUGAUUGUAUAGACAGAUGGGUCAGUCAGUAUGAUUGUAGAGACAGAUGGGUCAGUCAGUAUGAUUGUAUAGACAGAUGGGUCAGUCAGUAUGAUUGUAUAGACAGAUGGGUCAGUCAGUAUGAUUGCAUAUCCAGAUGGGUCAGUCAGUAUGAUUGUAGAGCCAGAUGGGUCAGUCAGUAUGAUUGUAGAGACAGAUGGGUCAGUCAGUAUGAUUGUAGAGACAGAUGGGUCAGUCAGUAUGAUUGUAUAGACAGAUGGGUCAGUCAGUAUGAUUGUAGAGACAGAUGGGUCAGUCAGUAUGAUUGCAUAUCCAGAUGGGUCAGUCAGUAUGAUUGUAGAGCCAGAUGGGUCAGUCAGUAUGAUUGUAGAGACAGAUGGGUCAGUCAGUAUGAUUGUAUAGACAGAUGGGUCAGUCAGUAUGAUUGUAGAGCCAGAUGGGUCAGUCAGUAUGAUUGUAUAGACAGAUGGGUCAGUCAGUAUGAUUGUAGAGCCAGAUGGGUCAGUCAGUAUGAUUGUAGAGCCAGAUGGGUCAGUCAGUAUGAUUGUAGAGCCAGAUGGGUCAGUCAGUAUGAUUGUAGAGCCAGAUGGGUCAGUCAGUAUGAUUGUAGAGACAGAUGGGUCAGUCAGUAUGAUUGUAGAGCCAGAUGGGUCAGUCAGUAUGAUUGUAGAGACAGAUGGGUCAGUCAGUAUGAUUGUAGAGACAGAUGGGUCAGUCAGUAUGAUUGUAGAGACAGAUGGGUCAGUCAGUAUGUUUGUAUAGCCAGAUGGGUCAGUCAGUAUGAUUGCAUAUCAGGCCUACAGGAAGUCUUCUGUCAUUUUGAAUACAGAACAUAAUGGAAUUAUGGAAACUUUUUUCUAGAAUUUCUUGAAAAUCAAUUAUACAGUUCAAUUCUGUUUCUGCUGAGUGUGAAGUUGGUGUCAGUGUGGGGAUUGUUACAGAGUCUACAGUAGUCUAGUGAAGUUGGUGUGAGUGUAGGGAGAGAUACAGAGUAUACUGUAGUCUAGUGGAGUUGGUGUGAGUGUUUUGGAGAGAUACAGAGUCUACUGUAGUCUAGUGGAGUUGGUGUGAGUGUGGGGAGAGAUACAGAGAAUACUGUAGUCUAGUGAAGUUGGUGUGAGUGUGGGGAGAGAUACAGAGUCUACUGUAGUCUAGUGAAGUUGGUGUGAGUGUAGGGAGAGAUACAGAGUCUACAGUAGUCUAGUGAAGUUGGUGUGAGUGUGGGGAGUAUAUACAGUGCCUUGCGAAAGUAUUCGG
RNAcentral lists this long non-coding RNA (1546 nucleotides) under Oncorhynchus kisutch (coho salmon). Its description in RNAcentral is "lncRNA (ENSOKIG00005030623.1)". The record is from RNAcentral. Lineage: Eukaryota; Metazoa; Chordata; Actinopteri; Salmoniformes; Salmonidae.